This 271-nucleotide long non-coding RNA is filed under the name Panicum hallii. Its description in RNAcentral is "long non-coding RNA (PHAL_LNC000117)". Lineage: Eukaryota; Viridiplantae; Streptophyta; Magnoliopsida; Poales; Poaceae. The record is from RNAcentral.
GGCAGGGUGCCGCGCCACUUCCUUCUCGCCGUCAACGACCUCCAGGCUCCACCACCUCUAACAUGGUUCGACAUUUGACUUUGAUUGGCUUCUCCUUGGUUGAAGAGAUGCAAAAUCGCAAAUCCAGUACUUGAUUGGCUUCUCGUUGGUUGUACAGAUGCAAAUCGAGAUAAACAAAUCGAACGAAUCUGUAUAUUGCCGUAGUUUAUGCAACCAAUAAUCAAACACAUCCACUUGGCUCCUCCAGGUCAAUGCUUGGGCUCCCCGAGUC